RNAcentral lists this ribosomal RNA (253 nucleotides) under uncultured bacterium. Its description in RNAcentral is "partial 16S ribosomal RNA". It matches the Rfam family "Bacterial small subunit ribosomal RNA", at positions 524 to 776 of the family's 1533-position model. The record is from RNAcentral.
UACGUAGGGUGCAAGCGUUAAUCGGAAUUACUGGGCGUAAAGGGCUUGUAGGCGGCCAACUAAGUCCGACGUGAAAUCCCCAGGCUUAACCUGGGAACUGCGUCGGAUACUGGAUGGCUUGAAUUCGGGAGAGGGAUGCAGAAUUCCAGGUGUAGCGGUGAAAUGCGUAGAUAUCUGGAGGAAUACCGGUGGCGAAGGCGGCAUCCUGGACCGACAUUGACGCUGAGGAGCGAAAGCUAGGGGAGCAAACGGG